Molecule: long non-coding RNA, 890 nt
Organism: Camponotus floridanus (Florida carpenter ant)
Lineage: Eukaryota; Metazoa; Arthropoda; Insecta; Hymenoptera; Formicidae
Exons: 2
Source: RefSeq, a predicted model, not a curated record
UUAGCACUCAUGCUGAACAAGUCGUGUGAUAUUUCGCUCGUUAAUAAAGACUCUUGCCGGAUUCAAUUCUCACAAGAAGAAAGUUUUCAAUCACAGAUGACACGCGCUAUUGCGAGAGCAGCUGGUAGUAUCUACAUAAAAAUCUUGAAUAAAACGCGCAGUUUCACGUGAUCACGUCGACAAUAUGUCAAUUAUCCUCGCGUUUCGGAGGGAGGAGGGUACAGAAAGAAGAAUACACACGAGCGCAGAAAGUGUGUAACUGAACAGAGGAACGGAGCAAGCAAACAGGGAAUCAAAGCAUCGGUGGUUGCCUAUGUACAACCGGAACAACCGGCCCCGGAAAGACCGGAGAGCACAAAAAGAGGGCGAAGCGUGAAUCGUGGAGGUGAGCGUGGCCUCAAGAGAGAAGACAAAGAAGUCGUGCUGUUGUGCUGCUAGUGCGAGAUGCCGGACCGUGGGACUUACGCGGGUAUUCUACUAGAGUUAGUCCCUUUAGAUUUUUCUCUCUCUUCUCUGGGAACGCGCAUCAGAUUAAGGAAUGAGGAAUGUGAGAAGGGAACGGGAAUGAACGACAAGUAUGUGUAUGCGUGUGUGUGAGAUGAUAUACACCUUUUGAAGGGUAGCGUCGUGAGGGUUAAAGCGGAACUUUUUGUGGCUCGUUAAGUCGUUGGGAAGUCGCGACCGGAUGCUAAAACCGUGGCUCUUUGUUACACGAGGCCGGCCUGCUUCGCGUUUCGAUAUAUCCAAAAUCUUUUUCUUUUUCUUUUUUUUUUUUUGCUAACGAUCGCGUGAUCGAGAUUUCGCGGUGCGUUUGACGUCCUUCGGAUCGUUAGAGCGAUCUUGACGGUUUCGACGACUGAUUUGAAUCUAAUUACGCCGAUCGUAGGAAA